RNAcentral lists this transfer RNA (74 nucleotides) under Loxodonta africana (African savanna elephant). It matches the Rfam family "tRNA". From Rfam's summary of the family: Transfer RNA (tRNA) molecules are approximately 80 nucleotides in length. Their secondary structure includes four short double-helical elements and three loops (D, anti-codon, and T loops). Lineage: Eukaryota; Metazoa; Chordata; Mammalia; Proboscidea; Elephantidae. The record is from Rfam by way of RNAcentral.
CCCUGGGUGGUGCAAAUGGUUAACAUACUUGGCUCUUGACCAAAAGGUUGGAGGUUUGAGUCCAUCCACAGGUG